UCUGGGGUAGCUCAACCGGCAGAGCGGGUGGCUGUUAACCACCAGGUUGGGGGUUCGAGCCCCUCCCCCGGAG
Hydrogenobaculum sp. Y04AAS1 is the source of this 73-nucleotide non-coding RNA. The record is from Rfam. NCBI's taxonomy places the organism in Bacteria, Pseudomonadati, Aquificota, Aquificia, Aquificales, Aquificaceae.